Molecule: long non-coding RNA, 2535 nt
Organism: Mauremys mutica (yellowpond turtle)
Lineage: Eukaryota; Metazoa; Chordata; Testudines; Geoemydidae
Exons: 3
Source: RefSeq, a predicted model, not a curated record
CACGCGUGCGAAGGGGCUGCGCGCCGGGCAGGGGCCCCUCAGCCUGCCUGGCUCGUGGGGCCCGGGCUGCGCGCGCUGUGCCGGGAGGGGCCCCGCCCUCCCCUGCCCGCGCUCCAGCGGCCCCGGGGGGAACAGGAGCGGAGCCGCGGCGCGGCCGGGCCACGGAAAUGCGCGGCGCGUGUGCUCAGCCCGCCUAAGCCGGGCCGCCCCUGGGCUUAGCGCUCAUCCAGCCCGUGCGGGGGACCGGGGAACCCCCGCCCCCGCCUUGCGGUGCCCGCGUAGCCGACAAGUGUAGGGGUGGCUCUCAUUUAGGCAAAGGACAAGCAAUCCUGUACAACACUCUCACACGUGUGUAGAGUCACCGCUCAGACAAGGAUGAAACCUGAAAAAUACAGACAAAUCCUAAUGAAAUACAGAACCAGUGAGCACACAGACGUGGGUGACAAAGUAUAGUAGCGUUCUAGAGAAGAAUCGCAGGGCCGGGGGGAACCUUGGCAAAAUAAUUUAGUCCAGUCGCCUGUGCUGAGGCAGGAACAAGUAACUCUAGACCAGCUCUGACAGAAGGCAGCAACAUGCUUCUUUUAUACACCCAGCUGUUUAUACAUCAGCAUUUUCAGCAACAAUCUGCACAACAUUCUGCACAGUCAGGAAGGAAGGAGUCCCUGAAGAAAGUGAGUCUUCUUUGUUUUCCUGCCACAGAUUGGGCUGUACUACAUGUUAUCACAUCUGUGAUCCACUAUAUGUACAGUGUUUGGAUUCCCUUUUUAGCUCAAUAAAACAUACCCAAAUAGCUAUUGGAGGAUGGCAAAACCAUGGGUAAGGUCAAGAUCAGUCUUACAAAAUUGUUAAGAAAACUGAAGUCCCCGGACACAAAGUUUACCCAUUACAUUCAAGAUGAAAAGCUCAGGAUAUUUUUCUUGUUUGUCAAAAAACAGUUAUUUGCUCCACGCAAGUGGACAAGUAGAAUUUUGCAGGGUUAGUAAAUGGGAGUUAAUUCUUGCCAUGGAGAAAGCAUAACCCUGACUUUGUGUAGAUAUUGCAGAAAUACUGAUAAUUUGGUUAUGAAUACCUUUCACCCUAGUGAUAGAUGUUCUUUAAAAAACAUACGUACACUUUUUAAAAGCUGGAACCUGUCCAUCAUUCCUCAUAAUACAGCACGACAUGCCUUAAUGAACCAGAUGCGCUGUAAAAACUUUAUACUGCAGAGUCUUUAUUUGCUGCAGAUGUGGUUGAUUCAAGCUUCCUCCAAAGCAGGAUUGUACAGAGUACCUAUCUUAAUGACAGUGGCAAGCUGGAUGACUGACUUUGUGCACUGGAGAGGAUUAUGCUCCUGUAUCUUUAAGAGAUACCACACAUGCUGGUGCUGAAUUCUGGUAGUCUAUUUGAUCUUAGCAGCUGUUCCUAAAGGAUGUUAUUCGGAAGAGAGCUCCCCAAGCGCUUUGCUGUGGAUCGUGUUUUUUUUUUUUCUUUUAAAUAGACUGUGAGGAAGGGAGCAGAAGUCUUUUGGGGAAGCUCUUGGGCAGGAAAUAUAUAGAGAUAAAAUAUAAUUAUUCCAUGGAAAAAUAUGUAUACAUACACUGUAUUAAUUUAUAAAGGAUCAAAUCAGUUUGACAGUCUUCACGAAACCCCAUUGAGAACAAUUAAAAUAUACUUCUGAGCCUCUUGUCAUUAAGAAAUGGGAUGAUAUAUUUAGGAAUUUGUGGGGGGAAGGGAUUGUCUCCUUGGAAACUUCUGUUGUCAUUGGAUACAUUGGAGGAACACAUCAGAUACUUCUUGUCCUUUAGCAAGUAAACAUAUACAUUUCCCAUAAUGCAUACUAACUCUGAAUUUAAUCUAUGUAUGAUGAACAAAAUCAUCAACAGUUUAAUUCUCUGUACUUGUAUCUAAUGGCAAGAAUUAUUUGGAGACUUAGUUUUAUUUAUAAUUCAGCAGUACAUCAAAAAGUUCUUGGGUUAAUUCAUUAUGAUUUCUCCAUUACCUUGUGACUUCCUUGGUAAAGUUAAAUCAGAAUUAAAAUAAAUCAAAGUUAUUAGAAAGGUUGAUACAAAUGAUGAUUAAAGUCAUUCAAAGUUUUGUUGUUGUUUUGGGGGGGUUUCCCCUCUAUUUUCAUUGACAUCCUGGAGUAAGAAAGAGGGUUAAGAAAUCUAACAAUAAAUAUUAAAAACUGAGGAAAACUGUUGAUCUUUUGGGAAAUGAGGAGGAAGCAGAACAUCUUGAAAAAAAACUUACGUUAAAAUAGUAUUAAACUGUUAUAUAGAUAAGGGGAUCAAGACUCCUCUUGUUCUUACACAUUUACAUUCAAGAAAUGCUCACUUUCAAGAUGAAUAAAUUUUGUUUAGUUUUAUCCUUCUCCCUUAUAAAUUAGUAGGGCUGAUGAAUGACAUGUUGACUGGCAGAACAAGCUCAUUAAAAUGUCUGAUCAUGUCAUGCAAAAGGCCACAGUGGUUCUCAAACUUAUUUGAUCAUGCCCCUCCCUUCUUUGUGUCUGUAGUAAUUUAGCUAUAGUACUCCCUCUCCCUCCCCCCCCCAGCACAU